Molecule: ribosomal RNA, 253 nt
Filed under: uncultured bacterium
Lineage: Bacteria
Description: partial 16S ribosomal RNA
Rfam family: Bacterial small subunit ribosomal RNA
Source: RNAcentral
AACGUAGGUUCCGAGCGUUAUCCGGAUUUACUGGGCGUAAAGCGCGUUCAGGCGGUUUGGCAAGUCGGGCAUGAAAUCUCUCGGCUCAACCGGGAGAGGUUGUCCGAUACUGUCAGACUGGAGGGCAGUAGAGGGUGGUGGAAUUCCGGGUGUAGUGGUGAAAUGCGUGGAGAUCCGGAGGAACACCAGUGGCGAAAGCGGCCACCUGGACUGCACCUGACGCUGAAACGCGAAAGCUAGGGGAGCGAACGGG